This 516-nucleotide ribosomal RNA is filed under the name uncultured Glomeraceae. RNAcentral's name for it is "SSU rRNA". It matches the Rfam family "Eukaryotic small subunit ribosomal RNA", at positions 569 to 1083 of the family's 1831-position model. Lineage: Eukaryota; Fungi; Glomeromycota; Glomeromycetes; Glomerales; Glomeraceae. The record is from RNAcentral.
CGCAGCCGCGGUAAUUCCAGCUCCAAUAGCGUAUAUUAAAGUUGUUGCAGUUAAAAAGCUCGUAGUUGAAUUUCGGGGUCAGUAGGUUGGUCAUGCCACUGGUAUGUACUGGUCUCACUGAUUCCUCCUUCCUGAUGGGCCGUAAUGCCAUUAACUUGGUGUUGCGAGGGAAUCUGGACUGUUACUUUAGAAAAAAUUAGAGUAGUUUAAAGCAGGCUAACGCUUAGAAUACAUUAGCAUGGAAUAAUGAAAUAGGACGUUCGAUCCUAUUUUGUUGGUUUCUAGGAUUGACGUAAUGAUUAAUAGGGAUAGGUUGGGGGCAUUAGUAUUCAAUUGUCAGAGGUAGAAAUUCUUGGAUUUAUUGAAGACUAACUACUGCGAAAGCAUUUGCCAAGGAUUGUUUCAUUAAUCAAGAACGAAAGUUAGGGGAUCGAAGACGAUCAGAUACCGUCGUAGUCUUAACCAUAAACUAUGCCGACUAGGGAUCGGAUGAUGUUUAAUUUUUUANGUACUCUA